GACGAACGCUGGCGGCGUGCUUAACACAUGCAAGUCGAACGGAAGGGCCCUGCUUUUGUGGGGUGCUCGAGUGGCGAACGGGUGAGUAACACGUGAGUAACCUGCCCUUGACUUUGGGAUAACUUCAGGAAACUGGGGCUAAUACCGGAUAUGAGCUCCUGCUGCAUGGUGGUGGUUGGAAAGUUUCGGCGGUUGGGGAUGGACUCGCGGCUUAUCAGCUUGUUGGUGUGGUAGUGGCUUACCAAGGCUUUGACGGGUAGCCGGCCUGAGAGGGUGACCGGCGACAUUGGGACUGAGAUACGGCCCAGAAUCCUACGGGAGGCAGCAGUGGGGAAUAUUGCACAAUGGGCGGAAGCCUGAUGCAGCAACGCCGCGUGCGGGAUGACGGCCUUCGGGUUGUAAACCGAUUUCGACUGAGACGAAGAGUGAGUGAUGGUAAUGGGUAAAGAAGCAACAGCUAACUACGUG
This 468-nucleotide ribosomal RNA is filed under the name uncultured bacterium. RNAcentral's name for it is "partial 16S ribosomal RNA". It matches the Rfam family "Bacterial small subunit ribosomal RNA", at positions 28 to 507 of the family's 1533-position model. The record is from RNAcentral.